This 497-nucleotide ribosomal RNA is filed under the name uncultured bacterium. RNAcentral's name for it is "partial 16S ribosomal RNA". It matches the Rfam family "Bacterial small subunit ribosomal RNA", at positions 28 to 507 of the family's 1533-position model. The record is from RNAcentral.
GAUGAACGCUGGCGGCGUGCCUAAUACAUGCAAGUCGAGCGAACAGACGAGGAGCUUGCUCCUCUGACGUUAGCGGCGGACGGGUGAGUAACACGUGUAUAACCUACCUAUAAGACUGGGAUAACUUCGGGAAACCGGAGCUAAUACCGGAUAAUAUAUUGAACCGCAGGGUUCAAUAGUGAAAGACGGUUUUGCUGUAACUUAUAGAUGGAUCCGCGCCGCAUUAGCUAGUUGGUAAGGUAACGGCUUACCAAGGCAACGAUGCGUAGCCGACCUGAGAGGGGGAUCGGCCACACUGGAACUGAGACACGGUCCAGACUCCUACGGGAGGCCGCAGUAGGGAAUCUUCCGCAAUGGGCGAAAGCUUGACGGAGCAACGCCGCGUGAGUGAUGAAGGUCUUCGGAUCGUAAAACUCUGUUAUUAGGGAAGAACAAAUGUGUAAGUAACUAUGCACGUCUUGACGGUACCUAAUCAGAAAGCCACGGCUAACUACGUG